AUUGUCACUGGGAUGAAGGAGUAACAAAUGGUACCUUGUAUCUUGAUCAAGGCAGAUCACCAUUAAAUACUGUAUUUGAAAUCUUAGAAGCUUAGGAAUAGCUUUAUGUACAUGACAACUAUUUUGCCUGUAGGAGAGCAACUCUAAAAAAUGUUUCUGCUGGAACUACAAAAAAUAUACUGAAUUUCAGAUGUGCACAGCAAAUGCAUUUCAAGAAAUUGAUGAUACCUGCUGUAUUGCCAGCUUCUUGUAGGAGCCCACCAUGCCACAAUAUUAACAAAGAGAAUACACAGAGAAAUACGUGGCAGAAAAGGAUGACAGUAAAGCCGAUAUCCUGAGCACUCUGGCUGAUAUAGAAAACAGCGGCUUUGAUGUGCUGCUUCAACAGCUCUUUGCCCAGCUGAAGCAUUGCUCUUAAUGAAAAUGAUCAAAUCCAUGGGACAAUUCUACUGUACUCAACUGCAUAAAGGCAUUUGAAUGUACAGAACUACAUUUUUAGGUCCUGGGACCUGGGAGUAGGAUGAAGAGAAUGAAACCUGCAGUGUACUUCUAGAUGAAAGCAACAGCUCUAUUGGAAGAAUAUUUCUCUAGUUCACUUGGAAAGGUUUUCUUGUCUUCAAGACAAGUUCAAAAGGUUCAUUUGGUUAAGAUAGCAACCAAGGGAAGGAAAAGCAGCACUGUGAGCACAAAAAAAGCAGCUUUUAUAAAAGCAUACCCUAAGAUAAACACAGAGUCAUCUAAGAAGAUAUUUAAUAAAUAAUACAUCAGAUUAGAAAAUUUAU
Vidua chalybeata is the source of this 782-nucleotide long non-coding RNA. RefSeq lists it as uncharacterized. The transcript has 6 exons. The record is from RefSeq and is a predicted model, not a curated record. NCBI's taxonomy places the organism in Eukaryota, Metazoa, Chordata, Aves, Passeriformes, Viduidae.